This 72-nucleotide transfer RNA is filed under the name Dipodomys ordii (Ord's kangaroo rat). It matches the Rfam family "tRNA". Rfam says of the family: Transfer RNA (tRNA) molecules are approximately 80 nucleotides in length. Lineage: Eukaryota; Metazoa; Chordata; Mammalia; Rodentia; Heteromyidae. The record is from Rfam by way of RNAcentral.
GGGAAGGUGGCUCAGUGGUAGAGCGCUUGCCUAGCAUGCAUGAGGCCCUGGGUUCGAUUCCUCAGCACCCCA